RNAcentral lists this unclassified non-coding RNA (3720 nucleotides) under Hevea brasiliensis (rubber tree). The record is from RNAcentral. Lineage: Eukaryota; Viridiplantae; Streptophyta; Magnoliopsida; Malpighiales; Euphorbiaceae.
AACAUCACAUUUCUCAGUUAUCUUUACUGUUCUGCAUGCAAACUCAGGUGCCAUGUACCCUAGAGCACUCUGAAUCUUACUGCUUAAAACAUAGCGGUCUAGCAUCGGUAACAAUCUUGCCAAGCCAAAAUCUCCCACUUUUGGUUCACCCGAACUGUCAAUAAGGACAUUACUUGAUUUUAUAUUGUAGUGGAUGAUGUUUGAUUGGUGCAAAUGAGCCAGGCUUUUCGCUGUCCCAAGAAUUAUAUUGAACCUCUCGUUCCAUGAAAGAAAAUUUCCAACUGAUCCCUCAUGGAGAUGCUUGUACAAACUCCCUCCAGAGACAAAUUCAUAUAUCAAAAGCUGUAAGGAUGGUGUCCAGUAAUAACCUUCAAGUGCCACAAGAUUUUGGUGCCUAACUUUUCCCAAUUUCUUAACCUCCCUCUCAAAAUCUUCUUGGGACUUGACAAGACUUGAGACAGUGAGCUUCUUGAUGGCCACUGGAUGCCCAUCUUGAAGAACAGUCCGAUAGACUGCUCCGAACCCACCACGUCCAAGUUCACAAUCCUUGUUAAGCAGAGCAUGCGCUCCUGUGCUGAAGUUGGGAUCACCUGAGAACAUGACGAGCUUGCCAGAAUUAGCAUCAGUGGUGGGGGAAUGGCUAAAGUCAUCACCUGCAGAUAAUGUCUGGGCAGCUGCAGAUUGUGACGUUGAGCGAACACGGAGGUUGAGCACAGUGAUAGCAAUAACUCCAACAACAAUGACAGCAGCUGCACCAAUGGCAAUAAGAGCAGAUAUGCUUAGGAUGAUUCUUUUGUGACCAAGGUUUUCAGGAAGCACGUCAGGAGCAGAGUCAGAAGAAGAGUUCGGAUUGAGAACAAUGGGUUUGGGAAGGACUGCAGGGCAAGACUUGUUGACCGCAGCACCACAGAGGGAUGGAUUGCCAAUGACAGAAAAAGGCGAUAUGGUGUUGAAGAAACCACCAGCAGGUAGUUCACCUUGCAACUGGUUAUGGGAAAUGUUGAAGGAGGAGAGGUUCGGAAGAUUAGCCAACUGCUUGGGUAAGCCACCAGUGAGGCUGUUAAAAGACAAGUCAACAUCUUGUAGGCUUGUAAGUUUUGCUAUUGCGGCAGGUAUUGGUCCAGUCAAGUUGUUUUGAGAUAGGAUCCUAUGAGAUCAAUAGGAAAGAAACAAACAAACAAUAAAGAAAUAUUCAUUAGAAUGAAGACAUCACACCUUCUUUCACCAAAAUACACUUUUUUGGCAAAAUGGCAACAAACGGCAACAACCGUCAAAGCAUCAAGGAACUUUUCUUGUUUCUUAAUUUAGAUAUCAAGCAAUAACCCCAGAAAAUAGAAUCGUCUCAUUCAUUUAAGUUGUAAGGAACUCUAAAUUUCAAAUCCUAACAACUAAUUUGACAAAAAGAUACCAUGGUGCAUGCAACUAUACUUUUAAGGAGUAGAUGUUUCUUCAAUAUGUCAAAUCUUCAAAAGAAGGCAUCAACUUUCACUGCAGAGGGAUUAAGUUAUCUACUACAGCAACUGUUAUGGUUUACCACGAAUUUGAGGAUGCAAACACAGGAAGCGACCUAAGCAGUGUUCACGAUCAUUAACUAAGUUUGGCCUAAAAAAUUUAAUAAUGAACGAGAAAGCAAAAAUAAGAAAAGGGAAAAAGAGACGUAACAAAGAGAGCUUACAAAGUUGUUAGUGAAGAACAGUUCCCAAUCGAGCUAGGAAUUUGCCCUGUCAGUAAGUUCCUCUCCAGCCUCAGUUCCUUCAAAGAAAAGGCUCCUCCAAAUUCCAGAGGAAUGCUCCCAUUUAGCCUAUUCUCACUCAAAUCAAGAAUAUAUAAUUCCUUCAACUCUCCAAUGGUCCCUGGAAUAGGACCCACAAGAGAGUUCACUGAUAGAUUCAAGAACUGCAAGCUGCUCAAAACCUCAAUAGAGGAUGAAAAUUUUCCAGAGAACUUGUUAGCUGAUAAAUCUAAAACUUGAAGCUUUGGAAGUGAGUUCAAACGCCCAAGCUUAUUCCCCGAAUGAAUAACUUUCUCCGAACCCAAGCCAAAAAUCCAUGCAGGAAGGUCACCACUCAUUGAAUUCCUGCUGAAAUCUAAAGCCAAAAGGUUUCCACAAUUGGCCAUAGAUUCUGGCAAGUUCCCACUUAAACCAUUACCAGAUAAAUUCAAUACCGCAAGUGACUGAAGAUUCCCGAUUGAAUUUGGAACCUGACCAGAGAAUCUAUUCCCAGAAAGAUCUAAAGUCUCAAGGCCUUUCAUUUCUCCAAUCCAGCUUGGAAAUUCACCAGCUAACAGGUUGUUCCUCAAGCUCAGAUAAUUACACAAGCUAAGCUUCUGCAUUGUCUCUGGAAGGUACCCAGAAAUCGAAUUAUCACUUAAAUCAAUAGACCUCAAUAACGAGCAGCUUCCUAUCCCUCCAGGAAACUCCCCAGUAAACUGAUUUUUACUCAAGUUAAUAGCUCUCAAAUUGUUCAUAACUUCAAUCCCUUUAGGAAUCUCACCUUCUAACAAAUUAUCAGACAAAUCAAGCGACCUGAGCCCACUCAAAUCCCAAAUCCCGGCAGGUAAAGACCCUGAAAACUGAUUCGAACUCAAAUUUAUAGAUGCAAGAGUAGCACAUGAACUCAAAGAACCUGGAAUCUUCCCUGAAAACUUGUUCUUGGCCAAAGAAAUUGAUCUUAGAGACCCACAUUGCUUAAAAAAGUCAUCUGGGAUCGACCCAGAAAAACUGUUCUCGCUCAAAUCAAUGAUUCUAAGGUUUUCAAGGCGAGCAAGACUGGGGCCAAUGCUGCCAGUGAGGUUGUUUCUUGCUAAUGAGAGCUUGUGGAGGAACUGAAGCUGUAAGAGGCCACGUCCAAUCCGACCCGAAAGAGAGAAGCCGUCGAGAGUGAGCUCGGUAACCCUGUUGGAUCUCGGGUUGCAUUUGACUGCGACCCAGUUGCAGGGAGUAUCAUCAUCUUGGUUCCAAGACGAAAGCUUUGCCUUUGGAUCUUGAAGGUCUGCUUUGAACACAAUUAGACCCAACACAUCGUCAUUAAGCGACGGGUUUAGAGAUCCCACACGCUGUGAAACAAAAACCAGAAAAGUUAAUAAGCUUAUUAAGAGCUCCUUUUUGUUCACCAUUGUAAGCUUCAUUUUAUGCUUUAACAAGGAAGCCAAAGAAUCACUUCAAACCCAUUGAAGUUUAGCUAAAAAUAAGUAAAAAAAAAUGAAGAAGAACAAUAGAAGCUAAAAACGAUUGAUUGUUGGGUUCAAAAGCUAUACUCACUACUACUCUACCAAUAAUUUCAAAGCAAAAAUGGAAAAUGUCAAAAAGGGUUCUCCUUUUUCUUUUUAGCUGCUAGAUUUGGACCAGAGAUACACCAAGAAGAGACAAAGAAGGGACUAAAACUACACCAAAAAGACAACUUUUACACUUAGCUAAAUGAAUGAGACACCAAAAUGAAGCUCAAGUGAUAGAAUGAGCAAGAAGGUUUAUGGUUUUCUCAAUAAGAGGGAAGUGUGAAAACCCCAGAAAUUUCUGCAGAAACAAAGUUUUGGCCUUUUGGGGGGUUUAAAGAACUUGAAAAACAAGCCUCGAUCUGAGACUUAUAAAUUAAGAUCCAAACACCAUGGCAUUUCAAGCCCUGUUGGAAACUGAAAUGGUUGGCUGAAGUCCGGUGAAAGAAGUUAGGUUUCCGGUGAGAGUCGCCGGUAAGUAUGAGCAAGUUUAGGAUAUCAGAUACU